AAAAAAUUUAUAACUUCUUAAAUAAUCUAAUGUCUUUUUUUUUUUUAAGGGUUUGGCUUCUGAAAGGUAUUCCAAGUACACCGGCAAAAUAUCUACUUUCUCUAUGAGUUUAUAAAUUGAAGUGGUUCUUCAGGACAAACAAAAACCCUUUUCAUCUAAAAUUUUAAUUGAGACCAAUUUCAGUGCCCUGGGAAUUAGUUCCAAAGUUUGGCUCAAGUUUUCUGGCACUGAGCACAGGGCUCUGGCCUCAGGACUGCACUGGGUCACCUUACAGCUGCACCUCAGGGCUACUUGCCAAGAAGCUGGUCUCAUGGCAACACUUCCCUAUGGCUUAACACCAGAACAUUGAGCUUGGAUACCCAACCUGGCUGAAAGCAAUUCACAUGAACUGCAACUCUAUCUAGCAAGCAACUUGCAGGAGUCAUCUCGUGUAGCACUGUAACACCCUCUGACAUUUCUGGGAGAAAAAUAAGACUAAUGUUCAUUGGUUUGUCUAGGAGUGGAGAUGGGUGUUUCUCAAGGUUUAAUUUAUAAAUAGAGAGUUGUACGUUGCUAUAACCACCACAUAAAUGGAGAAACGUGUCACUUAAAGUUUGUAACCAAGUUUUUAGCAGCUUUUUCAAAAAUGGGGAAGUACAGUCCAGCUAUCCUGGUUCAGGAACCAGAAAGAUCAGGGUUGGAAAUGUUAUUUUCCCACUAACCAGGUGGAAGAGUUUGGGCAGUUAACUUAGUCUUACUGUGCCUCAGUUUACUCAUACAUAAAAUACAAUUUGGGCUCAUUAAAUGAAUUCUAAAUCUCAGUCUUAACAUUUUACUAUAUGUAUGAAUAUAUAUUUAUAGUUUUCCUAUUUUGGUACAAUCACUUGAAACCCAUUCUCUUACUAGAGAAAUCUAAAUUUCCAAAAAUCUCAGGUUGUCAUUAAAUAUAGCACCUAAGAACAAAGCACCAUAGAGUUUAGCUGUAAGAGGUACUUAGAUAAUUUAGUCCAACUUCCUAAUUUUAUCAUCUCUCUUCCUUUUCACUUUCCUUUCUUCCUUUUUUCAACAAAUUUUUUUCUGAGUUCUGGUAUAUGCGAAGCACUGAGUUAAGUGCUAGGGACUGAGUCCUCAGUGUUAAAGAACUUCCAGUACAGUAGAGACAGACAAGUAAAUAGGUGAUUAAAAUACAAUGAAGUAAGUGAAUAGAGGUGAGCAUUGGGUGCAUCGGAAGACAGAGGCCAGUCUUGGAGUGAGGGGUAGGAGUUAGGAAAGGGUUCCUGGAGAAAUGACAUCUUAGCUGUGGGCGGGGGGGGGGAGGGGGGGUGUUGUUUACUAGGCAGAAAAGCAGCAUGUGCCUUUGCAUAACAGAGAGGAACCCGGGAGCAGUGAGGAGGAUUGCCCAAGGGUAUGCAUCUGGCCAGUGGCAGAGCUGCCAGUAAAAUGGAGCUCAAGGCCAUAACUAGAAAAUUACAGGCUCAGUUGAAUGUCAAUGACACAAAUUGAAAGUUCUUGGUUUUGUUUUUUGGUGCAGGUAAAACAUCAUGGUCCCUGCCUUUGCUGCCACCAACUUAAUUCAAAUCUGCGGCUCUUGCCUGGGCUCUAGGAUUAGGAUUUCCUCUCUGGCUCUAGUGUCUUCAGCAGUAACUCAUCAACACAACACAACCACAUCACAGGCUUUUCAUCUGAGAAGUACCACCACCAAUCUACUCUAGAGAUGAGGAUCUUUCAGUUGCUGAGUGGCAAGGAUGAAUAAACAUCCUGGCUCUGAUAGGCUUAGGAGACAAGUCUUUGUUAGUGAUGGCUCAGUUAUAGAACAGUUAUGACAUGAUGAUUGUCUUCACAUAUCUGAAGGAUUGUAGGAGGGAUGUUUAUUCUGUAUAGGGUGGAGGGGAAGAAUGAGAACCAAAUGGAUAUAUAGAUUACACCAUUACAGGUAAAUAUAUUUUCCCUAAAUAAGAACUUGAGGGCCAGGUGUGGUGGCUCACACCUAUAAUCCCAUAUAUACCUAUAUAUACUUCUGAGUAUAUAUACUCGGAAGGCUGAAGUUGGGGGAUCACUUGAGCCCAGGAGUUUGAGACCAGCCUGGGCAACAUGGUGAAGCCCUGUCUCUACAAAAAAUACAAAAAUUAACCAGUGUUGUGGCUUGUGCCUCUAGUCCUGGCUACUAGGGAGGCUGAAGUGGGAGGAUCACUUGAGUCCAGGAGUUCGAGGCUGCAGUGAGCCAUCAUCGCACCACUGCACUCCAGCCUGGGUAACAGAUGGAGACCCUGCUUCAAUUAAAAAAAAAAAACCCAAGAACUUGAAGGUGACUGUGUUGGUAAGCACUGAGUAUCCCUACACCAAAAGUAUAACAAGUGCAGAAUGACCACUUUACUGGGAUGUUGCAAAGACAAUUCAUGCCUUUAAUAAGAUUUAGAUUGUAGAGGCCCUGAUCAAAUCCUUCCAGCUCAGAGCUUCUGUGAGUUUAUAUUUUCACAGUUGCCCAGGCUGAGGUCUAAUUGUUCUAGUUUUUUAUCUAUUCCUCACAAAGUAUGUACUCUCCAAUCUAAUUAAUUAGCAUUUCAAGCACAUUAUUUUUAUAUUUAUAACAAAUACAUGCUUAUUGUAUAUUGUAAUAUUUAAGGAGACAAAUUCUUUUUCUCAAAAUACAUUAACAUUCACUGCUAGGUAUUGAAACUGCUAUACUUACGUGAGAAAAUCGGCAGUUUGGCAUGUACACAUCUGUGUACACCACACCUGCAUAUUCAGUCUGAUACACACAAACCACCUUAUUUUAGGUAUAUUUCACCUGUGUAUUUAUAUGCUAUGGAUGCUAGCAUCUAUACACUCACAUGCCCAAAGUUAAUUUAAUACAUUCCUUUCCUUUAUUUCAACCUUUGUUUUUUAUUGUGUAAACUGUGUGGCUGAAAUAUCUGUUCCAUUUGUCUAAAUAUAUGGAGGGAGUGAAAGGAAAGUAUAGUCAGUGAAAAUUGAAGAUAUUGCUGGCAGUUCUGGCAGGUGCAAUUUGGAUUGUGUAAACUCCAAAUUAUUUUUGGAGAGCAGUGGUAAAAGAUGAUUUAUAUUGUUUUGUAAGGCAGGCUACCCUGUUGCCCAUAUAGUACAAUAAAACAUACAAUUUGUUUUUACUUGCUUUCCAUGCAUGGUGCAUGUAAUGUGUUAUCAAUCAAAUAUAUUAAGUAAUACUUUGUUUUAAAUUAGAAUUUGAAUAUUACCUAAAGCCUAAAAUAUGUAUGUUUUAAAACAACAUAAUAGCUUUUUCAAAAAGAGAAAAAGAAUGCAAGCCCAUUUUCCAAGUGUACAAAAUCAAACAACAUUAAAAGGACCAGUCUAAAAUGAGCUGGCUCUUCCCUAAGUGCCAUGGAGCAUAAAUUCCUUUAUCAUAUUGCACAAAGGAAUGUAUCCUGCACUACCUCCUAUAUUCUACCUUACAGAAUAGCUUAUGCUCAACUCUGCUUUUUUAAAGAAAGGGAUUCCAUAGCUGCUGGUUAUAACAGUUUAUUGUGCACUGAGAGAAAUGUUGGGAGUGGCUUGGCCAGUCCAUAAGCACUUUGUGGAAAGUUAGAGAACUGCCUCUGGGACAGUGGUUUACUACCCUAUGUGCAUAGGAUGAAUAAGUCAUUUCUCUCAACGCAAUCCUGUGGAGGGCUUCUCCUCAAAGACUCAUAAUCAUCGGUCCUCUGCGUGUUCUAUUGUACUGAUAGGGUAGAGCGCAUCACCAAAAUCAACAGGCAGCACUUGUGGAGGCAGCAGCAAGCCGCUGUAUAUUAGCUGAUAAACGCUUUUUUCUUUCUAGUUUUUUUAAAUAAGAUACAAUGUUUUCACUAAUGAUCUUUUUACCAUACAGAAUGCUAAAAGUAAGAGGACACCAGGCAAAAUCCCCUGAAAUCACUGCAGGGACACUGCCAGACCCCAGGUGGGGCACUGAACAGAAGAGGGCAGCGGGCCAUUUUGAAAGGAAGAAAAGGGCAACUGGGAGCGGAGGAUGAGGACAGAGUCUGCGGAGCAUAGGAGCAGAUGACGCAGAAGAUGCUACAGCUGCCUACCGCAGCUGCUCUCAUAGUCGCCUGUACUUCAGAGUAGGGGCAAAUGUGUUUAGAGAUGAAAGGCAAGAGGGGGUAAGAAAAAUGUACCUUCCAUUUCUAACCAACUGUGAUAUAAUCUUCACAAAGCUCAUUCUGUUCUUAUGAAGUGGUUAUUUUCAGGAUUCAAAUAUAGGCAAAAUACGAACCGGCAAACCCUAUGUGUUUCUUAGCUGCAAGCACAAUUGGAUACACCCAAAUUACUGACAGCACAUUGUAAUUUCUAAGGCAACUUCUAAGGACAAACUUGUAGUUGGAACCUUGAACAUUAGAAAUGGUAGCAAUUUAGUAAUGUGAUAGUUUAUGGCCUUGCCCAACUGUUUGUGAACUCAAAAAGUGCUUUGUCACGUGUAACCUUAAUGUUUACAUGCUUUAGGCCAUAUAAUGACUUUAAGUCAUUAUUUCUUGUUUUAGACUCAGUACACGUAAGGGUAGUUGAUCUACCCACUCUGAGAUCAUUUCCUGGAACUCUGAACCCUACUGAACUCUGUACUAUCCUAAGGAUUGGCUGAUUGACUUAAAAUCCUACCCUGAGGAAAUAAAUACAUGAGUGGGGAGGGAGAGAGGGAGGGUUGGGGCAGGCCAACUUUAUUGACAUCCCCAUGUUUUCUUGAGGAUCCACAGGGAUCCUAAAGAGUAGUUUUCAACUCCUUGGCAGUAGAGGGCAUUUAGAUUAGACAAAGAUGUUCUUCAAAAAUGUCAGGAACUGAGAGAAGUCACAAAAGGAAAAAAAGAAAGUUAACAAUAACUGCAUAGUUACGGGGCUGUUUUAUAGAUUAAAAAAUAAAACAGGCUCAUACACAUUUGGUAAUUUGCCCGAAGUCACACAGACUUCAGAUUAAGGUCUGUGAGACUCCAAAGCUGCUUUCUAUUAUCACAAAAUGGCAUGGGGAUCUGAGAAUUCUAUAGGGUUCCUCCCUUUUAAGAUUUAUAAAAUGCAGAGAUCGCACAUAUCACUGGUUCAAAAAAGUUUAAGCCAUUUCUUUCUUUUUUCUUUUUUUUUUUCUAAGACGGACUCUUGCUCUGUUGCCCAGGCUGGAGUGCAGUGCCAUGAUCUCAGCUCACUGCAAUCUCCAUCUCCUGAGUUCAAGCAAUUCUCAUGCCUCAGCCUCCCGAGUAGCUGGGGCUGCAGGUGUGCACCACCACACCCAGCUAAUUUUUGUAUUUUUUAGUAGAGAUGGGGUUUUACCACAUUGGUAAGGCUGGUCUCGAACUCUCAGCCUCAAGUGAUCUGUCCGCUUUGGCCUCCCAAAGUGCUGGGAUUACAGGCAUGAGCCACCGCACCCAGCCAAGUUUAAGUCAUUUCUUAGGCUAUAUGCCUUCACAGGGCAGUGGCACUCUCCUGGCAACUCUAGUCAGCCACUUAGAAUCACUUAAAGCUUCUUCCAAGGCCUCUGGCCAGGGGUGAGUGAAGGCACAGGACUGCUUGAUCUCCUAGCCUAAUUAGGCAUGACACAACUUUGAGUAGAGAAUCAGGAAGGGCCAGUGGUCCAUAGAGUAUGUUGUGAUCCGAGCAGACUUAACAAACACACUACUUAAUCCAAAAUGCUAAGUUUUGUUGAGAUGUAUUCUUACAAGCAUGUUUAGAGAAUUGAGAUAAUUUCACUGAGCAAUUCAACUAAUAGAAUAAUAAUGCCAGACUUCAGCAUGCAGCCAUAUUAAUAAUCUGACCCCACUCUAUCUACUUAUAAAGUAUAUCCCAUUACUCCCCCAAACCUAUCUUUUCCAGAGGUGAGGUCUCCUCAUCGCUUCCACAUACUUCCCUCGUUCCUGCCUUCAUGCCCAGCUGAUGUUGAAUCCUGUCUAAGAUGCCUCUUCUUUCCACCACAAACUAUCCCAUCUUUCAAGGUCCAUCUCAAAACCCACCUUUUCUACAUCAUUUGUCUUGAUAACUCCAGUCAUAGUGGCCUCCAAAAUCCUGACCAGCCAUAACAAUGUCUCCACUCAACAUUUUCAUAUUUGAUUAUUUUUAACUUAGAACUUGACUAUGAGCUCUGUUAAUUCUCAUUAUCUCAUCUUUGUAAAUCCCCCCCAGUCACCAGGUUUCACGCAUCUUGAAGGCAGAGGCUUUGUUGACACAAAGUGAUUGGCAAAAAGGGAGCACCAUAGCAGUGUUUCCUACCCCGAAAUCUGUUUCUUUACUUUGGUUUUAAACCAGAUAGAAGAUAAAGAAACUGAGGCCCAUAGAAACAAAGCAAUUUUGCUAAGGUUAUACAGAGAGUAUGGUGGAGCUGGAUUCACAGGUGGGUUUGCCUGACUCCAAGACGCAUUCUCUUUCCACUAUACCACAUUACCUUUCUCAUUAAUUUCCUAAAACCAAUGGGUUCUAGUAUGCUGUUCACAGUACACUCACGCAAUACCUGCUUCCUAGUACAUACAUCUAUUUUAUAGGCGAGGGAUGAUAGAAGCCAGGGCAUUAGAAAAUUAAAUAUCUUUUUUUAUUAUUAUUUUUUAAGACAGAGUCUCACUCUGUCGCC
Long non-coding RNA from Homo sapiens (human), 6535 nucleotides. RefSeq lists it as uncharacterized. The record is from RefSeq and is a predicted model, not a curated record. The transcript has 2 exons. Lineage: Eukaryota; Metazoa; Chordata; Mammalia; Primates; Hominidae.